Molecule: long non-coding RNA, 416 nt
Organism: Tachysurus fulvidraco (yellow catfish)
Lineage: Eukaryota; Metazoa; Chordata; Actinopteri; Siluriformes; Bagridae
Exons: 3
Source: RefSeq, a predicted model, not a curated record
GACAAACGCAAGCCAUGCUUUUCAUGCUUUAAACAACCGGUGUGGGGUAUUUUUAGUUAGACACUAUUUCUUGUGCCAGUGCGUAAUUUGGGUCGUUCACCACAGCUGUUAAAUGACACAAGACGUGGAUCAACCCCACAUCACUGAAGUGAAGCUGACGUUUGAGUUAAUUGAGCUGGGAAAUGACCCACAUUUGAAUUCGGUUGAGAUCUCCAUUCUGAUUGCACGCGCCUGAGAGUGGUCAGCAGGCUCCUGGCACUCGUGGUGCAGAGCUCAUGGUCGCUUUGGACGCUCCUGGACGCGCGCACUGGAGACGCCACGGCAGCACGGCUCACAAGCGCAAUACACAUCAGCAUAAAAUAGCCUAAAUAAAGCAAAUACAGUAAACCACUAACAGGUGGCAUUGCGGAAAGAUA